Non-coding RNA from Phalacrocorax carbo (great cormorant), 571 nucleotides. The record is from RefSeq and is a predicted model, not a curated record. Lineage: Eukaryota; Metazoa; Chordata; Aves; Suliformes; Phalacrocoracidae.
GGGGUGCUGUGCAUCCCUGCCAGGUCCAUAGAGAGGGAGAGCCGUCCUUGGGAGGCACAGGGCCAGAGGAGCAGGGAGGGCAAGGGGCCCGGCCAAGCAGCUGCCUGCAGCCAAGUGGCUGACGCUGCUCAAACCAGAGAGUUGUGAUGUUCUGGAUGCAUCCCACGUGGUUGAAGAAAGGCAGAUGGGCCUUUGACUGCAAUCGAUUCCUAUCUGCAAGUGCGUGGUUCCAGAAAGAAGUCAUUCUGCAUUUUAAUUUACCCUCCCUGGCUAUAAAAAACGCAAAUUGUGCAACAUGCUUCACUGGGACCAGAGAGCUCCAGACUGAUGAGACAGGCAAGAACAUGAAAACGAGGACAAGAGAAACCCUUUGCGUUCACUUCAACCCCUGUCAUCAGAGCCGCUCUGCUAAAAAGUGACCUAGAACUGCAGGUUAGGACCAAACUGUGGUUUCCAUAUUUAUAAGGGAAAAGCCUUUAUGAAGCAGGUACCAAGAUCUUGAACCUAUUAACUGGUUUUCCAUUGCCUUUCUGGGCUGGGUUGACAUUUCUGCCAUUAAAAGUGUUUUUUA